AUUGAACGCUGGCGGCAGGCCUAACACAUGCAAGUCGAGCGAGCGGCGGACGGGUGAGUAAUGUCUGGGACACUGCCUGAUGGAGGGGGAUAACUACUGGAAACGGUAGCUAAUACCGCAUACCAUCAGAUGUGCCCAGAUGGGAUUAGCUAGUAGGUGGGGUAAAGGCUCACCUAGGCGACGAUCCCUAGCUGGUCUGAGAGGAUGACCAGCACACCUGGAACUGAGCACCGGUCCAGACUCCGACGGGAGGCAGCAGUGGGGAAUAUUGCACAAUGGGCGCAAGCCUGAUGCAGCCAUGCCGCGUGUGUGAAUAAGGCCUUCGGGUUGUAAAGCACUUUCAGCGUGGAGGCGUUACCCGCAGAAGAAGCACCGGCUGACUCCGUGCCAGCAGCCGCGGUAAUUC
RNAcentral lists this ribosomal RNA (406 nucleotides) under uncultured bacterium. RNAcentral describes it as "partial 16S ribosomal RNA". It matches the Rfam family "Bacterial small subunit ribosomal RNA", at positions 30 to 526 of the family's 1533-position model. The record is from RNAcentral.